RNAcentral lists this ribosomal RNA (452 nucleotides) under Micrococcus sp. oral taxon F54. Its description in RNAcentral is "bacterial SSU rRNA". It matches the Rfam family "Bacterial small subunit ribosomal RNA", at positions 28 to 489 of the family's 1533-position model. Lineage: Bacteria; Bacillati; Actinomycetota; Actinomycetes; Micrococcales; Micrococcaceae. The record is from RNAcentral.
GAUGAACGCUGGCGGCGUGCUUAACACAUGCAAGUCGAACGAUAAAGCCCAGCUUGCUGGGUGGAUUAGUGGCGAACGGGUGAGUAACACGUGAGUAACCUGCCCUUGACUCUGGGAUAAGCCCGGGAAACUGGGUCUAAUACCGGAUAGGAGCGCCUGUCGCAUGACGGGUGUUGGAAAGAUUUUUCGGUCAUGGAUGGACUCGCGGCCUAUCAGCUUGUUGGUGAGGUAAUGGCUCACCAAGGCGACGACGGGUAGCCGGCCUGAGAGGGUGACCGGCCACACUGGGACUGAGACACGGCCCAGACUCCUACGGGAGGCAGCAGUGGGGAAUAUUGCACAAUGGGCGGAAGCCUGAUGCAGCGACGCCGCGUGAGGGAUGACGGCCUUCGGGUUGUAAACCUCUUUCAGUAGGGAAGAAAGCGAAAAGUGAACGGUACCUGCAGAAAGAA